RNAcentral lists this long non-coding RNA (283 nucleotides) under Physcomitrium patens. RNAcentral describes it as "long non-coding RNA (PPAT_LNC000835)". Lineage: Eukaryota; Viridiplantae; Streptophyta; Bryopsida; Funariales; Funariaceae. The record is from RNAcentral.
AUUUGAUAAUAAUUUGUUUUAGAUCUUGAUUAGGAUUUGAUUUUGGAUUUGGUCUCGGAUUUGCUAAAGAUUUAGUUUAAAACUAGUCUAAGAUUUGUGUAGGAUUUAGGAUUUUAUUAGAAUUUCAUUAGGAUUUGAUCUAAGAUUUGGUUAAGGUUCAAUUAAGGUUUCAAUUAAGAUUUGACUAGGAUUAUUCUUAAGUUUUGUUUAAGAUUCAAUUAAGAUUCAAUUAAAAUUAUAUUAAUAUUUUGAUUUUUAAUAUUUUUUAGGAUUCUUUAUAUUU